This is a long non-coding RNA of Erinaceus europaeus (western European hedgehog), 629 nucleotides long. RefSeq lists it as uncharacterized. The record is from RefSeq and is a predicted model, not a curated record. Lineage: Eukaryota; Metazoa; Chordata; Mammalia; Eulipotyphla; Erinaceidae. The transcript is spliced from 3 exons.
UUGACAAGACAGAUUAAAAUCCCCAAAUAUUUUUCAUAAAAGGACAAAGUAUUAAGUACUUGGUAAAAUAUAGAAGGUAAUAACUGGAGGAAACACAGGGAGAAGAAAGAUGAAAGGUAGUUGCAUAUCAGCUAUAACAGUUUUUCUAGCUUGAGCGAUUAGCCAAGGAGAUCAAGAUUUAGGCCAACUGAAAGUUACCUAAUGUUCCAAGAAGAACUUGAGUAAAAGAAUUAGUUGAAGGUGCUGCGGAUUGAAACCAGGGCACCAUGACUGAGACGCUAUCUACUAUGAUUUCAUCCUGAACUCGCUGGGCAGAUGACCUUACCAUUGUGUCCCAGAACUUCACCUUUCCAGAGCCCUAGCCUACUAGGGAAAGGCAGAAAUAGGCUGAGAGUAUGGAUUGACCUGCCGAUGUUCAUGUCCGGUGGAGAAGCAAUUACAGAAGCCAGACCUCCUACCUUCUGCACCCCAUAAAGAUCUUUGGUUCAUACUCUCAGAGGAAUAAAGAAUAGGGUGCCUUACAAUGGAGGAGAUGGGGUACGAACUCUGGUGGUGGAAGUUGUAUGGAAUUGUAUCCCUCUUUUCCCACAAUCUUGUUAAUCAUUAAAUCACUAAUAAAAUAACAUAAA